RNAcentral lists this transfer RNA (62 nucleotides) under Sternaspis chinensis. Its description in RNAcentral is "tRNA-Arg". The record is from RNAcentral. Lineage: Eukaryota; Metazoa; Annelida; Polychaeta; Terebellida; Sternaspidae. RNAcentral also lists the same sequence under 1 other name.
AGACAUACGCUAACGCACAACGGUUUCGGCCCGUCUCCCAGAAGAUAAUCUUCUUAUGUCUU